AUGCAAGUCGAACGGCAGUCGGGCAGCAAUGCUUGGCGAGAGUGGCGCACGGGUGCGUAACGCGUAUGCAACCUACCUUUAACAGGGGGAUAGCCCGGAGAAAUUCGGAUUAAUACCCCGUAGUAAUUAUUAGUGGCAUCACUGAUAGUUUAAAGCUAAUGCGGUUAGAGAUGGGCAUGCGUUCCAUUAGCUAGUUGGUGCGGUAACGGCGUACCAAGGCUACGAUGGAUAGGGGACCUGAGAGGGCGAUCCCCCACACUGGUACUGAGACACGGACCAGACUCCUACGGGAGGCAGCAGUAAGGAAUAUUGGGCAAUGGCCGCAAGGCUGACCCAGCCGUGCCGCGUGCAGGAAGACGGCCUUAUGGGUUGUAAACUGCUUUUGUCAGGGAGUAAAUCCUUAUACGUGUAUAAGGUUGAAAGUACCUGAAGAAUAAGCAUCGGCUAACUCCGUGCCAGCAGCCGCGGUAAUACGGAGGAUGCGAGCGUUAUCCGGAUUCAUUGGGUUUAAAGGGUGCGCAGGCGGGCUAAUAAGUCAGGGGUGAAAUUCCACGGCUCAACUGUGGGGCUGCCUUUGAUACUGUUAGUCUUGAGUUUAGUUGAGGUGGGCGGAAUGUAGCAUGUAGCGGUGAAAUGCAUAGAUAUGCUACAGAACACCGAUAGCGAAGGCAGCUCACCAAGUUAUAACUGACGCUCAUGCACGAAAGCGUGGGGAUCAAACAGGAUUAGAUACCCUGGUAGUCCACGCUGUAAACGAUGAUCACUCGUUGUUGGCGAUAC
This 780-nucleotide ribosomal RNA is filed under the name uncultured bacterium. RNAcentral describes it as "bacterial SSU rRNA". It matches the Rfam family "Bacterial small subunit ribosomal RNA", at positions 55 to 832 of the family's 1533-position model. The record is from RNAcentral.